Triticum aestivum (bread wheat) is the source of this 95-nucleotide non-coding RNA. The record is from Rfam. NCBI's taxonomy places the organism in Eukaryota, Viridiplantae, Streptophyta, Magnoliopsida, Poales, Poaceae.
GUUGUAGCGGUGAUGACAAAUUUGUGGACUAGAGUUUCUGAUGCUGCCUCUUCAGCGGCAUCUGCAGACAACCCCUUGGCUGUCUGAGCUACCAG